GUGAAUCAUCGAAUCUUUGAACGCACAUUGCGCCCCCUGGUAUUCCGGGGGGCAUGCCUGUCCGAGCGUCACAAACCCCCUCAAGCCUGGCUUGGUCUUGGGCUACGCGAGCUUCGCGAGCCUCGAAUCUAGUGGCGCGACCAGUACGGCUUCUAGCGGAGUACCUUGCUCGCUACGACGCCUGCUGCGUGAGCGGUCCAAAAGCUCUUUUAUACGAGUUUGACCUCGGAUCAGGUAGGAAUACCCGCUGAACUUAAGCAUAUCAAUAAGCGGAGGA
Molecule: unclassified non-coding RNA, 277 nt
Filed under: Podosphaera sp.
Lineage: Eukaryota; Fungi; Ascomycota; Leotiomycetes; Helotiales; Erysiphaceae
Description: partial contains 5.8S ribosomal RNA, internal transcribed spacer 2, and large subunit ribosomal RNA
Rfam family: 5.8S ribosomal RNA (bases 1-71)
Source: RNAcentral